CCUACGGGUGGCUGCAGUGGGGAAUAUUGCACAAUGGGGGAAACCCUGAUGCAGCGACGCCGCGUGAGUGAUGAAGUAUUUCGGUAUGUAAAGCUCUAUCAGCAGGGAAGAAAAUGACGGUACCUGACUAAGAAGCCCCGGCUAACUACGUGCCAGCAGCCGCGGUAAUACGUAGGGGGCAAGCGUUAUCCGGAUUUACUGGGUGUAAAGGGAGCGUAGACGGCUGUGCAAGCCAGCUGUGAAAGCCCGGGGCGCAACCCCGGGACUGCAUUUGGAACUGUGUGGCUGGAGUGUCGGAGAGGCAGGCGGAAUUCCUAGUGUAGCGGUGAAAUGCGUAGAUAUUAGGAGGAACACCAGUGGCGAAGGCGGCCUGCUGGACGAUAACUGACGUUGAGGCUCGAAAGCGUGGGGAGCAAACAGGAUUAGAUACCCUUGUAGUC
This 440-nucleotide ribosomal RNA is filed under the name uncultured bacterium. RNAcentral describes it as "partial 16S ribosomal RNA". It matches the Rfam family "Bacterial small subunit ribosomal RNA", at positions 338 to 795 of the family's 1533-position model. The record is from RNAcentral.